CUUUGGUUUGGUGGGGCUUGUCGGGUGCUAACCAUUUUAGGGAUUGAAGCAUGAUUCUGUAUCAACAAAAUACUAUAUAAUCCAAAUAUUAUGGGAAGAAAAAGGAAAUCUCUAUGGAUGUUACUUAUUUCAUUAUACAAUCCAAUUAAGACUAGAAUUUAAUCUGAGUUUGAACAGACUUUUAGAAAAUGAAAGAUACAUAGACUAGUAGUCCGAUGCUUAUGCCUUGAU
Molecule: long non-coding RNA, 231 nt
Filed under: Elaeis guineensis (African oil palm)
Lineage: Eukaryota; Viridiplantae; Streptophyta; Magnoliopsida; Arecales; Arecaceae
Description: long non-coding RNA (EGUI_LNC014336)
Source: RNAcentral